GAUGAAGAACGUAGCGAAAUGCGAUACGUAAUGUGAAUUGCAGAAUUCAGUGAAUCAUCGAAUCUUUGAACGCAUACUGCGCUCUCUGGUAUUCCGGAGAGCAUGCUUGUUUGAGUAUCAGUAAACACCUCAACUUCCAUAUCUUUUUUGAAAUGGGAGUUGGACUUGAGUGAUCCCAACGCUUUUCCUCACCGAAAAGUGGCGGGUUACUUGAAAUGCAGGUGCAGCUGGACUUUUCUCUGAGCUAUAAGCAUAUCUAUUUAGUCUGCCUAAAAAACAGAUUAUUACCUUUGCUGCAGCUAACAUAAAGGAGAUUAGUUCUUGUGCUGACUGAUGCAGGAUUCACAAAGACAGGCUUCGGCCGACUUUGUAAACUCGAUCUCAAAUCAAGUAAGACUACCCGCUGAACUUAAGCAUAUCAAUAAGCGGAGGA
This 433-nucleotide unclassified non-coding RNA is filed under the name soil metagenome. RNAcentral describes it as "partial contains 5.8S ribosomal RNA, internal transcribed spacer 2, and large subunit ribosomal RNA". The stretch from base 1 to 120 matches the Rfam family "5.8S ribosomal RNA", at positions 35 to 154 of the family's 154-position model. The record is from RNAcentral.